GGACAUGCCAGCUUUGCAAAGAUGGUGGUGUGUUAUGCUGAUGGAGAAUUUUGACCUUGGAUGCCAUCAUAAAAUGUUUGCACACUGGACGGAGAUGUAAAGAGCCCUCCUGCGUGGUGAGGUGCAACCAGUGUUCAGACUGAAGAAGCGAAAGUUUGAGAAUAUCUCUGAGGACAAAUUGCUCCGUUGAAAGCACUUCGAAGACAACAGUUGAAGUGGAUAGAGUGAAGGCCAGGAUUGUAAAUGACUGUAAAGAGGCCGCAGAAUGGGUUAACGCAAACCUGCACUUGUUCUCUGAUGCCGUGGAAUUGCCUGACAUACUGAAGAUGGGGGAAGUGGAACUGGCAGAGGCUGUACAGCAGUAUGAAAAGCUUUGGGGUGAGGAGGAAGUGGAUGAAGAUGAAAAGGAGUUAAUCUUGGAGAAUUUCAAGUUUGCUUUCAGGAACCCUGAAGACAUGAAUGUGUUUUGUGAGGAAAUCGCAGACAGUCGAGGGUAUUUGGCAUACUGUGAAUGCCGAAAAUAACUUGUUUUCAUUGCAUUCAAUACCUGUUCAUUACUCACCAUUGCACAAAGUGAACAAUUCACUUUUAAAUCGUAUUUCAAAUGUAAAGUUGCUGUUUUAUUUUUUUUUCAACCAGGUUAUUUGGAACCGUAGCUUAUUGCCUUGUUUACUUUAACAACUGUAUAUUUUAUGCUGUUUAAUUGUUUAGCAGAAAGACUGAAGAAGGCAUGUUUUUCACCUUGUUCCU
Long non-coding RNA from Fundulus heteroclitus (mummichog), 750 nucleotides. RefSeq lists it as uncharacterized. NCBI's taxonomy places the organism in Eukaryota, Metazoa, Chordata, Actinopteri, Cyprinodontiformes, Fundulidae. The record is from RefSeq and is a predicted model, not a curated record. The transcript is spliced from 4 exons.